GUGAGGAAUAUUGGACAAUGGGCGCAAGCCUGAUCCAGCCAUGCCGCGUGCAGGAAGACGCAUCUAUGGUGUGUAAACUGCUUUUGUACGGGAAGAAACACUCCCUCGUGAGGGAGCUUGACGGUACCGUAAGAAUAAGGAUCGGCUAACUCCGUGCCAGCAGCCGCGGUAAUACGGAGGAGCCAAGCGUUAUCCGGAAUCAUUGGGUUUAAAGGGUCCGUAGGCGGUUUAAUAAGUCAGUGGUGAAAGCCCAUCGCUCAACGAUGGAACGGCCAUUGAUACUGUUAGACUUGAAUUACAAGGAAGUAACUAGAAUAUGUAGUGUAGCGGUGAAAUGCUUAGAUAUUACAUGGAAUACCAAUUGCGAAGGCAGGUUACUACUUGUGGAUUGACGCUGAUGGACGAAAGCGUGGGGAGCAAACGGGAUUAGAUACCCGGGUAGUCC
Molecule: ribosomal RNA, 445 nt
Filed under: uncultured bacterium
Lineage: Bacteria
Description: partial 16S ribosomal RNA
Rfam family: Bacterial small subunit ribosomal RNA
Source: RNAcentral